Molecule: ribosomal RNA, 253 nt
Filed under: uncultured bacterium
Lineage: Bacteria
Description: partial 16S ribosomal RNA
Rfam family: Bacterial small subunit ribosomal RNA
Source: RNAcentral
UACGGAGGGGGCUAGCGUUGUUCGGAAUUACUGGGCGUAAAGCGCACGUAGGCGGCUUUGUAAGUUAGAGGUGAAAGCCCGGGGCUCAACUCCGGAAUUGCCUUUAAAACUGCAUCGCUAGAAUUGUGGAGAGGUAAGUGGAAUUCCGAGUGUAGAGGUGAAAUUCGUAGAUAUUCGGAAGAACACCAGUGGCGAAAGCGGCUCACUGGAUCUCUUCUGACGCUGAGGCACGAAAGCUAGGGUAGCGAACGGG